This 253-nucleotide ribosomal RNA is filed under the name uncultured bacterium. RNAcentral describes it as "partial 16S ribosomal RNA". It matches the Rfam family "Bacterial small subunit ribosomal RNA", at positions 524 to 776 of the family's 1533-position model. The record is from RNAcentral.
UACGAAGGGGGCUAGCGUUGUUCGGAAUCACUGGGCUUAAAGCGUGUGUAGGCGGAUGCCUAAGUACCUUGUGAAAUCCCACGGCUCAACCGUGGAACUGCUUGGUAUACUGCGGGUCUUGAGCCAUCUAGGGGCAACCGGAACAAACGGUGGAGCGGUGAAAUGCGUAGAUAUCGUUUGGAACGCCAAUGGUGAAAACAGGUUGCUGGGGAUGUGCUGACGCUGAGACACGAAAGCCAGGGGAGCAAACGGG